CGCCAUUCAGGUAAGGUUCGCAAGGAAGUCAGAGCAGAUCUCCUCAACACUAGCCUCGAAGGGAGCAUUGCCCGCCAAACUGAUCAAGAUCACAUGAAAGUAUAGUUUAUACCUUCCUGUUAGGAGUAUCCUUUUAUGACAAGCCUGGGUUUGAUUCUCACAAUGUUUUCAUCUUCAUCCAACUUGUUUUUUAAUACCAACUUAGC
This 206-nucleotide long non-coding RNA is filed under the name Vigna radiata. RNAcentral's name for it is "long non-coding RNA (VRAD_LNC017423)". Lineage: Eukaryota; Viridiplantae; Streptophyta; Magnoliopsida; Fabales; Fabaceae. The record is from RNAcentral.